This 483-nucleotide ribosomal RNA is filed under the name Triticum aestivum (bread wheat). RNAcentral's name for it is "partial small subunit ribosomal RNA". Lineage: Eukaryota; Viridiplantae; Streptophyta; Magnoliopsida; Poales; Poaceae. The record is from RNAcentral.
AUGUGCUUCGAGUUCAGCUCCUGUUUCGGCGGCGUCAUAAAGGACGACUACGGCGGCGAGCGGUCCAACCAAGGCGGCUGCAGCGGCCGUGGCCGCGGCCACAGGGGGUACCGCGAGAACGGGAACGGCUACAACGCCGCUGCCGCCGACCACAAGCCGGCUACGGCCUACGACCAUCAGCGGGCUCUUGAUGAGCAUGGGCGCAAGGCCCACGCCCACCACGACGGCGGGGUGAAACCUGACCACGCCUCCGUCGUCGCUGCCACCGGUGGCCACGGCUAUUACGCCGCCUAUAUGCAAGACAAGGCCCACGAGGCGCCGAAGCUUCCUGCGUGGCACAACAAUGUCGUCGACGACGCCGGCUACGCCUACAACUACAACACAGCGCGCCUCCGCCACCAGGCUGCUCCUGAUCAUAGGGAGCACGCCGCCAUGGAUUACCACCACUACCCAACCACUACUACCACUCUCGUAAGGUACUAG